CAUAAUUUUAAGAACAUGUUCAUAGAAAGGGGAAUUCAUUACAAAGAAUUAUACCCGUAAUAAGAAAUACUGGAUCUGUCAAUGACCCGACUUAUUUUAAUAUCUCAUUUACUGUUAUCUGUUUUUGUCCAUUUUAAUUCCUUGUUAUCUGUUAUAAGCCAAAUCAAUUUGCUGUUUUGCUGUUAUUGGGACCCCCCUUGCCCCCCCUC
This 209-nucleotide long non-coding RNA is filed under the name Mytilus galloprovincialis (Mediterranean mussel). Lineage: Eukaryota; Metazoa; Mollusca; Bivalvia; Mytilida; Mytilidae. The record is from RNAcentral.